AUUCUUUCACUUGGGGCAAUGACGUAACUAGUGAGGUACUAACCGAGACGCGUCUAUUACUGGUUGAAAACUAUUUCCAAACCCUCUCUUCGGCCUCGGCUCUGUCUAGGACGUUAGAGAAUUUCUGGAAGGGCUCCCUAAGGGGUAAAGCU
Molecule: small nuclear RNA, 152 nt
Filed under: Cephalotus follicularis
Lineage: Eukaryota; Viridiplantae; Streptophyta; Magnoliopsida; Oxalidales; Cephalotaceae
Description: U4 spliceosomal RNA
Rfam family: U4 spliceosomal RNA
About the family: U4 small nuclear RNA (U4 snRNA) is a component of the major U2-dependent spliceosome. The structure of U4 snRNA from yeast and human has been reported. U4 snRNA presents a k-turn RNA motif in the 5p-SL related to recognition of Snu13 protein.
Source: Rfam by way of RNAcentral